AAUUAAACAAAUUAGUCACUAAAGAACCUAACUUUUAUUUUUAAUCUUCCCUCUAGAGGAGACCCUAUACUUUUUAUUUCCCUCUCUUCUUUUAAUCCUCCGGCCCUUGGCUUGUUUUCUAUUUACUAUUCUUAUUUCUCUUAUUUUCGUCCAUCAAAAUUAUUUCAGGAUCUCGUUAGCCCAUAUCCACAACCAGAAGGGAAGAAAAGGAUGAACACAGACAUUAUAACAGUAGCAAAGCUCGAAUAACCGGCUGCAGAUCAAAACUCUUUGCCUUACCACCUACAUCUUCGUCACUGCCGGUUACCUCUCUGAUUAUGAGGCUACCAAUGCUAGGCUCAUGGGUUGGUUCAUGUACAAGUGCUAGAAUCUUGCAGGUAUAUUAUGGGUUUUUUCCCCAUUGGAGAAAGUUGCAUCGAGCAUGGUUAAGUAGGUGGAGAAAUCGCUUUCACAACCAGUUACAUAGAAAUUCACUGAACUUGAGGAGAAAGAAAACUUACUACUGAGGAAAAGGGAACUAGCAUGUGAACAAAAAUGCUAGGGAUGAGAAUUUGACUAGAGAAUCAAGUUCAAUUUAAAUUUACAAUCCACAAAUAACAUGGCUGCAGAAUUAGUAUCCAAUGGAUGCAACUUGCUGGAGUCAACAAGAACUGACUUUCUACGGUCAAUGAAGAUGAUUUGUUAUAACUCAUCUAAUUAUGAUAUCCUUGGAGGCAGAAAUUGACACAGAAAGAAUUAGAUUUGUCAGGAGGAGAAAAAACUAUUGUUGGAUUCAAACGGUGUAUUUCUUUUCUUUUUUUGCUGAAACUCUAAAGUAUGCACUUGUAAUUAUCUCUGUAUAUAAUGAAUUUAAUGAAACACCUUAUUCUUCCUAGAAUAAAUAUUUGCAUAUUUUGUUA
Molecule: long non-coding RNA, 899 nt
Organism: Nicotiana attenuata
Lineage: Eukaryota; Viridiplantae; Streptophyta; Magnoliopsida; Solanales; Solanaceae
Exons: 6
Source: RefSeq, a predicted model, not a curated record